GAUGAACGCUGGCGGCGUGCCUAAUACAUGCAAGUCGAGCGGACGGACGAUAAGCUUGCGUCUCGGAUGUUAGCCGAGCACGGGUGAGUAACACGUGGAUAACCUACCUAUAAGUCGGGUAACACCUCGAGAAUCCGGCGAUUAUACGAUAGAAUAUUUUGAACCGCAUGGGUGAAUAGUAAAAGACGGCCUUGCGGUCACGUAUAGAUGCUUCCGCGCUGCAGUAGCUAGUAGGUGAGGUAAAGGCUUAUGAAGGGAACGAUGCGUAGCCGACCUGAGAGGAUGAUCGGCCACACGGGAACUGAGACGCGGUCCAGACGACUACGGGAGGCAGCAGUAGGGAAUCGUACGCAGUGGGCGAAAGCAUGGCGGAGCAACGCCGCGUGAGUGGUAAAGAUCUUGGGAUCGUAAAACUCUGUUAUUGGUGAAGAACAGAUGUGUAAGGAACUGUGCACAGCGUGACGGUACCUAAUCAGAAAGCCACGGCUAACUACGUG
Molecule: ribosomal RNA, 497 nt
Filed under: uncultured bacterium
Lineage: Bacteria
Description: partial 16S ribosomal RNA
Rfam family: Bacterial small subunit ribosomal RNA
Source: RNAcentral